AUCUUCACUCGUCCUGACAAUGACGCAGCUAAUGAGCUAAUAACCGAGGCAGCUAAUGAGCUAAUAACCGAGGCGCGUCAAUUGCUGGUUGAAAACUAUUUCCAAACCCCCUCCUCGGCUUUGGGUCUCCCUUGGCCAUCGAGAAUUUCUGGAAGGACUCCCUCUCGAGGGAAAGUC
This is a non-coding RNA of Helianthus annuus (common sunflower), 177 nucleotides long. NCBI's taxonomy places the organism in Eukaryota, Viridiplantae, Streptophyta, Magnoliopsida, Asterales, Asteraceae. The record is from Rfam.